RNAcentral lists this ribosomal RNA (494 nucleotides) under uncultured bacterium. RNAcentral's name for it is "bacterial SSU rRNA". It matches the Rfam family "Bacterial small subunit ribosomal RNA", at positions 28 to 511 of the family's 1533-position model. The record is from RNAcentral.
GAUGAACGCUAGCGGCAGGCUUAACACAUGCAAGUCGAGGGGCAGCAUGAUGAAACUUUCGGGUUUCAUUGAUGGCGACCGGCGCAAGGGUGCGUAACGCGUGAGCAACUUGCCCUUAUCAGGGGAAUAACCGGUGGAAACGCCGACUAAUACCCCAUAGCAUCACUUUAAGGCAUCUUUUAGUGAUUAAAGAAUUUCGGAUAAGGAUAGGCUCGCGUGACAUUAGCUAGAUGGCGGGGUAACGGCCCACCAUGGCGACGAUGUCUAGGGGUUCUGAGAGGAAGGUCCCCCACACUGGAACUGAGACACGGUCCAGACUCCUACGGGAGGCAGCAGUGAGGAAUAUUGGUCAAUGGCCGAGAGGCUGAACCAGCCAUGCCGCGUGAAGGUCACGGCCCUAUGGGUCUUAAACUUCUUUUGUAAGGGAGCAAUAAGGUCUACGUGUAGACUGAUGAGAGUACCUUACGAAUAAGCAUCGGCUAACUCCGUGCCAG